This 440-nucleotide ribosomal RNA is filed under the name uncultured bacterium. RNAcentral describes it as "partial 16S ribosomal RNA". It matches the Rfam family "Bacterial small subunit ribosomal RNA", at positions 338 to 795 of the family's 1533-position model. The record is from RNAcentral.
CCUACGGGAGGCAGCAGUGGGGAAUAUUGCACAAUGGGGGGAACCCUGAUGCAGCAACGCCGCGUGGGUGAAGAAGUACUUCGGUAUGUAAAGCCCUGUCAGCAGGGAAGAAAAUGACGGUACCUGAACAAGAAGCCCCGGAUAACUACGUGCCAGCAGCCGCGGUAAUACGUAGGGGGCAAGCGUUAUCCGGAUUUACUGGGUGUAAAGGGAGCGUAGACGGCAAGGCAAGUCUGGAGUGAAAUCACGUGGCUCAACCACGGGACUGCUUUGGAAACUGUGUUGCUGGAGUGCAGGAGGGGUAAGCGGAAUUCCUAGUGUAGCGGUGAAAUGAGUAGAUAUUAGGAGGAACACCAGUGGCGAAGGCGGCCUACUGGACGGUGACUGACGCUGAGGCUCGAAAGCGUGGGGAGCAAACAGGAUUAGAUACCCCAGUAGUC